This 732-nucleotide long non-coding RNA is filed under the name Pan troglodytes (chimpanzee). Its description in RNAcentral is "lincRNA". The record is from RNAcentral. Lineage: Eukaryota; Metazoa; Chordata; Mammalia; Primates; Hominidae. RNAcentral also lists the same sequence under 1 other name.
GCCGCCGCAGCGAAGAGGCCAUGUUGUGUGGUGUGUGGGGCGGGGGGAGGAGGAGGAGGGAGUAAAGCCUAGAGAGGAGACGGGAGAGAGACACCACACACACGGCACAAGAUGGCCGGAGAGGCAGCAGCACCCCGAGCUGUCAGGCGUUCCGCCGCGGCCGCGAGGCCCGCCGGCCGGCGGGGAGCUACGCCCGGACGGCCAGCAGGCCCGCGGGAGUGGGGCUGCCGCGGCUGAGGCGAGGCGGGCCGCGCGCGUCGGCGUCACAGCCCGCGGCAGAGGCGCCCAGGGCGGCCGGGCCCACGACGCCGAAAGCGCCGCUGCGGUUGCCGCCUCGGAGGCUCCCCCGGGCCCCGGCGGCUGGACCCGGCGCGGGCGGGAGGCUCGGGCGGGCGGUCCGGCCCGGGACUCGGGUUUGGGCGACCAGGAGGUGCCGGUGGCCGCGCUCGGACCCGGUUCUCCAACGGAGGAGCUUUUUAACCUCUUUCCGGUGAGGUGGGAACUCAUCUUCAUGAUCGAAUUUAAAAGAACAAUGGAACCCUGACUACGUUUCAACAAAAAUAAAACUUGUUUUUUUCCCUCCUAUUGGGUGUUGGCUUUUAACUCUUUCAAAGCCGAUUUUGAAACGGCUGCAGUGAUACAUGCGAAGGUACUUGCUGCUUAUUAAACCUUUAUGACGUUAAGGUUGUCUUUGAAAAAUGCAAGUUGGAGGAGUGCUUCUGGUAUUUCAGA